This 207-nucleotide ribosomal RNA is filed under the name uncultured bacterium. RNAcentral's name for it is "partial 16S ribosomal RNA". It matches the Rfam family "Bacterial small subunit ribosomal RNA", at positions 568 to 774 of the family's 1533-position model. The record is from RNAcentral.
CUCGUAGGCGGUUCGUCGCGUCCGGUGUGAAAGUCCAUCGCUUAACGGUGGAUCCGCGCCGGGUACGGGCGGGCUUGAGUGCGGUAGGGGAGACUGGAAUUCCCGGUGUAACGGUGGAAUGUAUAGAUAUCGGGAAGAACACCAAUGGCGAAGGCAGGUCUCUGGGCCGUUACUGACGCUGAGGAGCGAAAGCGUGGGGAGCGAACA